This 643-nucleotide ribosomal RNA is filed under the name uncultured bacterium. RNAcentral describes it as "bacterial SSU rRNA". The stretch from base 1 to 546 matches the Rfam family "Bacterial small subunit ribosomal RNA", at positions 338 to 873 of the family's 1533-position model. The record is from RNAcentral.
CCUACGGGAGGCAGCAGUGGGGAAUUUUGGACAAUGGGCGCAAGCCUGAUCCAGCAAUGCCGCGUGAGUGAAGAAGGCCUUCGGGUUGUAAAGCUCUUUUGUCAGGGAAGAAACGGUGAAGGCUAAUAUCUUUUGCUAAUGACGGUACCUGAAGAAUAAGCACCGGCUAACUACGUGCCAGCAGCCGCGGUAAUACGUAGGGUGCAAGCGUUAAUCGGAAUUACUGGGCGUAAAGCGUGCGCAGGCGGUUUUGUAAGUUUGUCGUGAAAUCCCCGGGCUCAACCUGGGAAUGGCGAUGAAGACUGCAAGGCUAGAAUCUGGCAGAGGGGGGUUAGAAUUCCACGUGUAGCAGUGAAAUGCGUAGAGAUGUGGAGGAACACCGAUGGCGAAGGCAGCCCCCUGGGUCAAGAUUGACGCUCAUGCACGAAAGCGUGGGGAGCAAACAGGAUUAGAUACCCUGGUAGUCCACGCCCUAAAACGAUGUCUACUAGUUGUCGGGUUUUAAAUUAACUUGGUAACGCAGCUAACGCGUGAAGUAGACCCGCCGUGGGGGAGGUACGGUACGGCGAGAAGUUAAAACUUAAAAUUAAGUUAAGUUAGUUAGGUUACGUGAGAGNGCGACGGACGACGACGAGGGAGGAGG